CCCUGGAUCCUCGGUUUUGAGCAGCAAACAUCACUACAAACCGAGGGUUCAAAUUGGAAUCUCGUCAGCACGACCUCAGGGACCAGAGUUGGCUGGGUUUAGACAUAAUGGUGUUGUAUGGCGGCAACCACCCUUGGAUGUAGAGGCGCAGUCCACGACCAACGAGUUGGGCACUGGAUGGCGUAGCAGAUAAGAAACAAACCAGAACUUUAAAUCAAGACUUGCUGCUGCUCUGUGAGAUAUGAUCGCCACUGUUCCCACAGUUCCUCCC
Long non-coding RNA from Hemicordylus capensis (graceful crag lizard), 271 nucleotides. RefSeq lists it as uncharacterized. The record is from RefSeq and is a predicted model, not a curated record. Lineage: Eukaryota; Metazoa; Chordata; Lepidosauria; Squamata; Cordylidae. The transcript has 3 exons.